UACGUAGGGGGCAAGCGUUGUUCGGAAUUACUGGGCGUCAAGGGCGCGUAGGCGGCACGGCAAGUCGGGAGUGAAAGGCCUGGGCUCAACCGAGGAACUGCUUUCGAGACUGCCGAGCUAGAGUGCGGAAGGGGCAACCGGAAUUCCUGGUGUAGCGGUGAAAUGCGCAGAUAUCAGGAAGAACACCAAUGGCGAAAGCAGCUCUCUGGGACGGUACUGACGCUGAGACGCGAAAGCGUGGGGAGCGAACAGG
This 253-nucleotide ribosomal RNA is filed under the name uncultured bacterium. RNAcentral describes it as "partial 16S ribosomal RNA". It matches the Rfam family "Bacterial small subunit ribosomal RNA", at positions 524 to 776 of the family's 1533-position model. The record is from RNAcentral.